AGAAUCAACGCUGGCGGCGUGCCUAACACAUGCAAGUCGCACGAGAAAGGGGAGCAAUCCCUGAGUACAGUGGCGCACGGGUGAGUAACACGUGAAUAAUCUACCUCCGAGUGGGGAAUAAACUGAGAGAAAUCUUAGCUAAUACCGCAUAACACUUACGAGUCAAAGCAGCAAUGCGCUUGGAGAGGAGUUCGCGGCCGAUUAGUUAGUUGGCGGGGUAAUGGCCCACAAGACGAUGAUCGGUA
RNAcentral lists this ribosomal RNA (245 nucleotides) under uncultured bacterium. RNAcentral's name for it is "partial small subunit ribosomal RNA". It matches the Rfam family "Bacterial small subunit ribosomal RNA", at positions 26 to 285 of the family's 1533-position model. The record is from RNAcentral.